Molecule: ribosomal RNA, 443 nt
Filed under: uncultured bacterium
Lineage: Bacteria
Description: partial 16S ribosomal RNA
Rfam family: Bacterial small subunit ribosomal RNA
Source: RNAcentral
CCUACGGGUGGCAGCAGUGGGGAAUAUUGGGCAAUGGGCGCAAGCCUGACCCAGCAACGCCGCGUGAAGGAAGAAGGCUUUCGGGUUGUAAACUUCUUUUAUCCGGGACGAAGCAAGUGACGGUACCUGAUGAAUAAGCCACGGCUAACUACGUGCCAGCAGCCGCGGUAAUACGUAGGUGGCAAGCGUUAUCAGGAUUUACUGGGUGUAAAGGGCGUGUAGGGGGGAAAGUAAGUCAGAUGUGAAAACCAUGGGCUCAACCUGUGGCCUGCAUUUGAAACUGUUUUUCUUGAGUAUUGGAGAGGCAGACGGAAUGCCUGGUGUAGCGGUGAAAUGCGUAGAUAUUAGGCGGAACACCAGUGGCGAAGGCGGUCUGCUGGACAGCAACUGACGCUGAGGCGCGAAAGCGUGGGGAGCAAACAGGAUUAGAUACCCUAGUAGUC